GGUUAAGCGACUAAGCGUACACGGUGGAUGCCCUGGCAGUCAGAGGCGAUGAAGGACGUGCUAAUCUGCGAAAAGCGCCGGCGAGGUGAUAUGAACCCUUGACCCGGCGAUGUCCGAAUGGGGAAACCCAGUGCAAUCCGUUGCACUAUCGUUAACUGAAUACAUAGGUUAACGAGGCGAACCGGGGGAACUGAAACAUCUAAGUACCCCGAGGAAAAGAAAUCAACCGAGAUUCCCCCAGUAGCGGCGAGCGAACGGGGAGCAGCCCAGAGUCUGAAUCAGCUUGUGUGUUAGUGGAAGCGUCUGGAAAGUCGCACGGUACAGGGUGAAAGUCCCGUACACGAAAGCACACAGGCUGUGAACUCGAAGAGUAGGGCGGGACACGUGGUAUCCUGUCUGAAUAUGGGGGGACCAUCCUCCAAGGCUAAAUACUCCUGACUGACCGAUAGUGAACCAGUACCGUGAGGGAAAGGCGAAAAGAACCCCGGCGAGGGGAGUGAAAAAGAACCUGAAACCGUGUACGUACAAGCAGUGGGAGCACCUUCGGGUGUGACUGCGUACCUUUUGUAUAAUGGGUCAGCGACUUAUAUUCUGUAGCAAGGUUAACCGUAUAGGGGAGCCGAAGGGAAACCGAGUCUUAACUGGGCGUUAAGUUGCAGGGUAUAGACCCGAAACCCGGUGAUCUAGCCAUGGGCAGGUUGAAGGUUGGGUAACACUAACUGGAGGACCGAACCGACUAAUGUUGAAAAAUUAGCGGAUGACCUGUGGCUGGGGGUGAAAGGCCAAUCAAACCGGGAGAUAGCUGGUUCUCCCCGAAAGCUAUUUAGGUAGCGCCUCGUGAACUCAUCUUCGGGGGUAGAGCACUGUUUCGGCUAGGGGGCCAUCCCGGCUUACCAACCCGAUGCAAACUACGAAUACCGAAGAAUGUUAUCACGGGAGACACACGGCGGGUGCUAACGUCCGUCGUGAAGAGGGAAACAACCCAGACCGCCAGCUAAGGUCCCAAAGUCAUGGUUAAGUGGGAAACGAUGUGGGAAGGCCCAGACAGCCAGGAUGUUGGCUUAGAAGCAGCCAUCAUUUAAAGAAAGCGUAAUAGCUCACUGGUCGAGUCGGCCUGCGCGGAAGAUGUAACGGGGCUAAACCAUGCACCGAAGCUGCGGCAGCGACGCUUAUGCGUUGUUGGGUAGGGGAGCGUUCUGUAAGCCGUUGAAGGUGGCCUGUGAGGGUUGCUGGAGGUAUCAGAAGUGCGAAUGCUGACAUAAGUAACGAUAAAGCGGGUGAAAAGCCCGCUCGCCGGAAGACCAAGGGUUCCUGUCCAACGUUAAUCGGGGCAGGGUGAGUCGACCCCUAAGGCGAGGCCGAAAGGCGUAGUCGAUGGGAAACAGGUUAAUAUUCCUGUACUUGGUGUUACUGCGAAGGGGGGACGGAGAAGGCUAUGUUAGCCGGGCGACGGUUGUCCCGGUUUAAGCAUGUAGGCGGAGGUUCCAGGUAAAUCCGGUACCUUUUAACGCUGAGGUGUGAUGACGAGGCACUACGGUGCUGAAGUAACAAAUGCCCUGCUUCCAGGAAAAGCCUCUAAGCAUCAGGUAACACGAAAUCGUACCCCAAACCGACACAGGUGGUCAGGUAGAGAAUACCAAGGCGCUUGAGAGAACUCGGGUGAAGGAACUAGGCAAAAUGGUGCCGUAACUUCGGGAGAAGGCACGCUGAUAUGUAGGUGAAGCCCCUGCGGGUGGAGCUGAAAUCAGUCGAAGAUACCAGCUGGCUGCAACUGUUUAUUAAAAACACAGCACUGUGCAAACACGAAAGUGGACGUAUACGGUGUGACGCCUGCCCGGUGCCGGAAGGUUAAUUGAUGGGGUUAGCGGUAACGCGAAGCUCUUGAUCGAAGCCCCGGUAAACGGCGGCCGUAACUAUAACGGUCCUAAGGUAGCGAAAUUCCUUGUCGGGUAAGUUCCGACCUGCACGAAUGGCGUAAUGAUGGCCAGGCUGUCUCCACCCGAGACUCAGUGAAAUUGAACUCGCUGUGAAGAUGCAGUGUACCCGCGGCAAGACGGAAAGACCCCGUGAACCUUUACUAUAGCUUGACACUGAACACUGGUCCUUGAUGUGUAGGAUAGGUGGGAGGCUUUGAAGCGUGGACGCCAGUCUGCGUGGAGCCGUCCUUGAAAUACCACCCUUUAAUGGCUGGUGUUCUAACGUAGACCCGUAAUCCGGGUUGCGGACAGUGUCUGGUGGGUAGUUUGACUGGGGCGGUCUCCUCCCAAAGAGUAACGGAGGAGCACGAAGGUUAGCUAAUCCUGGUCGGACAUCAGGAGGUUAGUGCAAUGGCAUAAGCUAGCUUGACUGCGAGAGUGACGGCUCGAGCAGGUGCGAAAGCAGGUCAUAGUGAUCCGGUGGUUCUGAAUGGAAGGGCCAUCGCUCAACGGAUAAAAGGUACUCCGGGGAUAACAGGCUGAUACCGCCCAAGAGUUCAUAUCGACGGCGGUGUUUGGCACCUCGAUGUCGGCUCAUCACAUCCUGGGGCUGAAGUAGGUCCCAAGGGUAUGGCUGUUCGCCAUUUAAAGUGGUACGCGAGCUGGGUUUAGAACGUCGUGAGACAGUUCGGUCCCUAUCUGCCGUGGGCGCUGGAGAAUUGAGGGGGGCUGCUCCUAGUACGAGAGGACCGGAGUGGACGCAUCACUGGUGUUCGGGUUGUCAUGCCAAUGGCACUGCCCGGUAGCUAAAUGCGGAAGAGAUAAGUGCUGAAAGCAUCUAAGCACGAAACUUGCCCCGAGAUGAGUUCUCCCUGAGACUUUGAGUCUCCUGAAGGAACGUUGAAGACGACGACGUUGAUAGGUCGGGUGUGUAAGCGCAGCGAUGCGUUGAGCUAACCGAUACUAAUGAACCGUGAGGCUUAACCUU
Molecule: ribosomal RNA, 2904 nt
Filed under: Enterobacter cloacae
Lineage: Bacteria; Pseudomonadati; Pseudomonadota; Gammaproteobacteria; Enterobacterales; Enterobacteriaceae
Description: 23S ribosomal RNA
Rfam family: Bacterial large subunit ribosomal RNA
Source: RNAcentral